GAAUUUUGGACAAUGGGCGAAAGACUGAUCCAGCAAUGCCGCGUGCAGGAUGAAGGCCCUCGGGUUGUAAACUGCUUUUGUACGGAACGAAAAGCUUUGGGUUAAUACCCUGGAGUCAAGACGGUACGGUAAGAAUAAGCACCGGCUAACUACGUCCCAGCCGCCGCGGUAAUCAGUAGGGUGCCAGCGUUAACCGGAAUUACUGGGCGUAAAGCGUGCGCAAGCGGUUUUGUAAGGAAGAGGUGCAAUCCCCGGGCUCAACCUGGGAACUGCCUUUGUGACUGCAAGGCUAGAGUACGGCAGAGGGGGGUGGAAUUCCGCGUGUAGCAGUGAAAUGCGUAGAUAUGCGGAGGAACACCGAUGGCGAAGGCAACCCCCUGGGCCUGUACUGACGCUCAUGCACGAAAGCGUGGGGAGCAAACA
RNAcentral lists this ribosomal RNA (423 nucleotides) under uncultured bacterium. RNAcentral describes it as "partial 16S ribosomal RNA". It matches the Rfam family "Bacterial small subunit ribosomal RNA", at positions 359 to 774 of the family's 1533-position model. The record is from RNAcentral.